ACGUACGCUGGCGGCACGCCUAACACAUGCAAGUCGAACGAAGUAGCAAUACUUAGUGGCAGACGGGUGAGUAACAUGUAGGUAUCUGCCCUUUGGCCUGGAAUAACACGAGGAAACUUGUGCUAAUACCGGAUAAGUCUUUACGGAGAAAGCUUUAUGCACCAUUGGAUGAGCCUGCACUUGAUUAGUUUGUUGGUGGGGUAAUGGCCUACCAAGACUGUGAUCAAUAGCUGAUUUGAGAGGAUGAUCAGCCACAUUGGGAGUGAGACACGGCCCAAACUCCUACGGGAGGCAGCAGUGGGGAAUCUUGCACAAUGGAGGAAACUCUGAUGCAGCGAUGCCGCGUGAGUGAAGAAGGCCUUUGGGUUGUAAAGCUCUUUCGUCGGGGAAGAAAAUGACUGUACCCGAAUAAGAAGGUCCGGCUAACUUCGUGCCAGCAGCCGCGGUAAUACGAAGGGACCUAGCGUAGUUCGGAAUUACUGGGCUUAAAGAGUUCGUAGGUGGUUGAAAAAGUUAGUGGUGA
Molecule: ribosomal RNA, 523 nt
Filed under: alpha proteobacterium IMCC14457
Lineage: Bacteria; Pseudomonadati; Pseudomonadota; Alphaproteobacteria
Description: bacterial SSU rRNA
Rfam family: Bacterial small subunit ribosomal RNA
Source: RNAcentral